This 427-nucleotide ribosomal RNA is filed under the name uncultured bacterium. RNAcentral's name for it is "bacterial SSU rRNA". It matches the Rfam family "Bacterial small subunit ribosomal RNA", at positions 355 to 774 of the family's 1533-position model. The record is from RNAcentral.
UGGGGAAUUUUGGACAAUGGGCGCAAGCCUGAUCCAGCCAUGCCGCGUGCAGGAUGAAGGCCCUCGGGUUGUAAACUGCUUUUGUACGGAACGAAAAGCCUCUUUCUAAUAAAGAGGGGUGAUGACGGUACCGUAAAAAUAAGCACCGGCUAACUACGUGCCAGCAGCCGCGGUAAUACGUAGGGUGCGAGCGUUAAUCGGAAUUACUGGGCGUAAAGCGUGCGCAGGCGGUCGUGCAAGACAGUGGUGAAAUCCCCGGGCUCAACCUGGUAAGUGCCAUUGUGACUGCAAGGGUGGAGUACGGCAGAGGGGGAUGGAAUUCCGCGUGUAGCUGUGAAAUGCGUAGAUAUGCGUAGGAACACCGAUGGCGAAGGCAGUCCCCUGGGCCUGUACUGACGCUCAUGCACGAAAGCGUGGGGAGCAAACA